This 207-nucleotide ribosomal RNA is filed under the name uncultured bacterium. RNAcentral describes it as "partial 16S ribosomal RNA". It matches the Rfam family "Bacterial small subunit ribosomal RNA", at positions 568 to 774 of the family's 1533-position model. The record is from RNAcentral.
CACGCAGGCGGUCUAUUAAGUCGGAUGUGAAAGCCCGGAGCUCAACUCCGGAAUUGCAUUCGAAACUGGCAGACUUGAGUACGAGAGAGGGAAGCGGAAUUCCUGGUGUAGAGGUGAAAUUCGUAGAUAUCAGGAGGAACACCAGCGGCGAAAGCGGCUUCCUGGCUCGAUACUGACGCUCAUGUGCGAAAGCGUGGGGAGCAAACA